AGGACGAACGCUGGCGGCGUGCUUAACACAUGCAAGUCGAGCGGAAAGGCCCUUCGGGUACUCGAGCGGCGAACGGGUGAGUAACACGUGAGUAAUCUGCCCCUAGCUCUGGGAUAGCUCCGGGAAAACCGGGAUUAAUACCGGAUACGACCACUUUAGACAUCUGUUGUGGUGGAAAGAUUUUGGCUAGGGAUGAGCUCGCGGCCUAUCAGCUUGUUGGUGGGGUAACGGCCUACCAAGGCGACGACGGGUA
This 253-nucleotide ribosomal RNA is filed under the name uncultured bacterium. RNAcentral describes it as "partial small subunit ribosomal RNA". It matches the Rfam family "Bacterial small subunit ribosomal RNA", at positions 26 to 285 of the family's 1533-position model. The record is from RNAcentral.